GGAUGAACGCUAGCUACAGGCUUAACACAUGCAAGUCGAGGGGCAGCAUGGUCUUAGCUUGCUAAGGCCGAUGGCGACCGGCGCACGGGUGAGUAACACGUAUCCAACCUGCCGUCUACUCUUGGACAGCCUUCUGAAAGGAAGAUUAAUACAAGAUGGCAUCAUGAGUCCACAUGUUCACAUGAUUAAAGGUAUUCCGGUAGACGAUGGGGAUGCGUUCCAUUAGAUAGUAGGGGGGGUAACGGCCCACCUAGUCUUCGAUGGAUAGGGGUUCUGAGAGGAAGGUCCCCCACAUUGGAACUGAGACACGGUCCAAACUCCUACGGGAGGCAGCAGUGAGGAAUAUUGGUCAAUGGGCGAGAGCCUGAACCAGCCAAGUAGCGUGAAGGAUGACUGCCCUAUGGGUUGUAAACUUCUUUUAUAAAGGAAUAAAGUCGGGUAUGCAUACCCGUUUGCAUGUACUUUAUGAAUAAGGAUCGGCUAACUCCGUGCCAGCAGCCGCGGUAAUACGGAGGAUCCGAGCGUUAUCCGGAUUUAUUGGGUUUAAAGGGAGCGUAGAUGGAUGUUUAAGUCAGUUGUGAAAGUUUGCGGCUCAACCGUAAAAUUGCAGUUGAUACUGGAUAUCUUGAGUGCAGUUGAGGCAGGCGGAAUUCGUGGUGUAGCGGUGAAAUGCUUAGAUAUCACGAAGAACUCCGAUUGCGAAGGCAGCCUGCUAAGCUGCAACUGACAUUGAGGCUCGAAAGUGUGGGUAUCAAACAGGAUUAGAUACCCUGGUAGUCCACACGGUAAACGAUGAAUACUCGCUGUUUGCGAUAUACGGCAAGCGGCCAAGCGAAAGCGUUAAGUAUUCCACCUGGGGAGUACGCCGGCAACGGUGAAACUCAAAGGAAUUGACGGGGGCCCGCACAAGCGGAGGAACAUGUGGUUUAAUUCGAUGAUACGCGAGGAACCUUACCCGGGCUUAAAUUGCAGAUGAAUUACGGUGAAAGCCGUAAGCCGCAAGGCAUCUGUGAAGGUGCUGCAUGGUUGUCGUCAGCUCGUGCCGUGAGGUGUCGGCUUAAGUGCCAUAACGAGCGCAACCCUUGUUGUCAGUUACUAACAGGUUCCGCUGAGGACUCUGACAAGACUGCCAUCGUAAGAUGUGAGGAAGGUGGGGAUGACGUCAAAUCAGCACGGCCCUUACGGCCGGGGCUACACACGUGUUACAAUGGGGGGUACAGAGGGCCGCUACCACGCGAGUGGAUGCCAAUCCCCAAAACCUCUCUCAGUUCGGACUGGAGUCUGCAACCCGACUCCACGAAGCUGGAUUCGCUAGUAAUCGCGCAUCAGCCACGGCGCGGUGAAUACGUUCCCGGGCCUUGUACACACCGCCCGUCAAGCCAUGGGAGCCGGGGGUACCUGAAGUGCGUAACCGCGAGGAGCGCCCUAGGGUAAAAC
This 1437-nucleotide ribosomal RNA is filed under the name uncultured organism. Its description in RNAcentral is "16S ribosomal RNA". It matches the Rfam family "Bacterial small subunit ribosomal RNA". The record is from RNAcentral.